AAAUUUUUCUCAUUCUAAAAAAGUCAUGUAAAAAAAAAAAAAAGGAAAAAUGAAAGAGAGCGGUGCCAAACGUCAGCAGCUGCCUCACCUUAACGCUAUGGGCUGUUGAAAUUCAAUGAAUCGUUGUUGCCAAUCUUAGACCGCUCUUCUCCACCGCAAUCUAUCCACCCAAAUGGCGUCUCCAUCUGAUCACAAAGCCACCAUCAUCGACGGCAAAGCCAUCGCUCAGACAAUCAGAUCUGAAAUUGCCGCCGAGGUGCGCCAGCUCUCCCAGAAAUACGGCAAGGUGCCAGGGCUAGCUGUGUUAAUUGUUGGGAAUAGGAAAGAUUCUCAAAGCUAUGUGGGAAUGAAGAGAAAAGCCUGUGCUGAAGUUGGGAUUAAGUCUUUUGAUGUGGACCUCCCUGAGGACGUACCGGAAUCCGAGUUGAUCAGCAAAGUUCACGAGUUAAAUUCAAAUCCUGAUGUACAUGGUAUAUUGGUUCAGCUCCCCUUACCAAAGCACAUAAAUGAAGAGAAAGUUCUGAGUGAAAUCAGUCUUGAGAAAGAUGUAGAUGGUUUUCAUCCUUUGAAUAUUGGCAAACUUGCAAUGAAAGGCCGAGAACCCCUUUUCCAUCCUUGUACUCCCAAGGGUUGCCUUGAACUGCUAUCGAGAAGUGGUAUAAGCAUAAGGGGAAAACAGGCUGUUGUUGUGGGUCGAAGUAACAUAGUUGGAUUGCCUGUUUCUUUGCUGCUGCUUAAGGCAGAUGCUACUGUUAGCAUUGUUCAUUCACGUACUCCAGAUCCUGAAAGGCUAGUUCGUGAAGCUGACAUUAUUAUCGCUGCAGCAGGACAAGCUAUGAUGAUCAAAGGCAGUUGGAUCAAACCUGGGGCUGCAGUUAUUGAUGUUGGAACAAAUGCUGUUGAUGACCCAACUAAGAAGGCAGGAUACAGGUUAGUGGGAGAUGUGGAUUUCCAGGAAGCAUGUAAGGUUGCUGGAUGGAUAACUCCUGUUCCUGGUGGUGUUGGCCCAAUGACGGUUGCAAUGCUGCUCAGGAAUACCAUAGACGGUGCGAAGCGUGUGAUUGAGCAGUGAGAGGUCUCUCAUUUCAUCAUUGUUUACUUAAUAAUAAAAGUUGCUUACCACUCAGUUGGAUCUCUAACUUCAAAUGGAACAAAAAAUACUUUUUUUUCAAGUACUUUACAGAGCUGCUUUAAGACUUUGGGAUUUAUCUGUUGCUUUUUUAAACAUGUUUACGAUUUCUUUCUGUAAAUUCUAACCAUUUCAUUUGACUAGUUCAUUCGCUCCACCAAAAUAACAUCCCUCUCAACUUUCUGCUUGAAGUAGUUUCUUUCUAUAAAGUUGUUGAAAUCUAGUAGCCUGUAGCCUAUGCCUGGAAAGAAUGAGUAAAAAGGAAGGAAAGGAAAUAGAGGCAGGGCAUCAUCGGACUCCACCCUACCAGUCUACACUAUUGGACUAUUCCCUAAUGACAAUUGAGAAUCCUUGUUCUGUCUGAUAAGAGAAAGAGAAUGGCUAAAAUGCUUGAUUGAGCACAUGGUCUACCUAGGCUAAAUGGUAGUUUCAAAUAUUGACCAUAAUUUCUAGGAUGCUUUCUUUCAUAACUGGAAUGAAAUAUUGCUAGCGAGUUUUGCACUGUGCAUUCCCUGUUUCACCUGUUUCACAUAGGAG
This is a non-coding RNA of Durio zibethinus, 1666 nucleotides long. The record is from RefSeq and is a predicted model, not a curated record. NCBI's taxonomy places the organism in Eukaryota, Viridiplantae, Streptophyta, Magnoliopsida, Malvales, Malvaceae.